Non-coding RNA from Cinara cedri, 296 nucleotides. Lineage: Eukaryota; Metazoa; Arthropoda; Insecta; Hemiptera; Aphididae. The record is from the annotation of a GenBank genome assembly.
GUUGCUUAGAGAUAUACAUUACAUUUUUUUUUUUUUUUUUUUUUUUUUUUUUUUUUUUGUAUGACGACCGAUUGAGAGGCGAGAGAUUCGUAGUCCCUUUGUUAUAGCCGUUAUCUCCCUCCCAUCUCGGGCACGUCGCAUGAUCGAUAACGGACCCGCUCGGUUUGCGGACUGAUUUUAUUUAAUAUUAAAAUAUAAUUUAUCCGGCUAUAAUAUAAUAUUUUAAAUCGGCUUGUUUAACUUCGAAUCUCAAUUAAUCGUAAUACGUUAUACUCGAACAUUAUAAAAUACCUACA